RNA transcript from Gossypium arboreum, 2720 nucleotides. It is a transcript of the gene named twinkle homolog protein, chloroplastic/mitochondrial-like, with no coding region annotated. The transcript is spliced from 5 exons. Lineage: Eukaryota; Viridiplantae; Streptophyta; Magnoliopsida; Malvales; Malvaceae. The record is from RefSeq and is a predicted model, not a curated record.
AUUAAAUUAUUCUAAUCUUUGGAGAGAGGGACUAGUUUGUUGAAUUUUGGAUAUAGGGGUGACUGAAAAAGUUUAUAGAUAAUCCAAUAUUAUCCGUAUGAAUAAUAGUAACCCAUAAAAGAAUGCCCCUAAUCCUAAGAAAAGCACAAGAACCCCUAAACACUUACUGGAAGAGGGAAAACCAGGCGGGCGGCCAAACUAGCAUACGAGUGUUUGUGUAAACAUACAGAAAAGAUAUCACACACACUGAGUGAUGCUGCGUCUUCCUUCCCACAAUCAACGCCUCCAUCUCCUCCUCCGCAAUCUCUCCUCUUUUGCAUCCAAAACUACCAUUUUCAAGACCUCCAAACACUUCAUCCCUUCCCAUCUGCUGCCUCAAACCCUUUCUCCUGAACACUUCUCCACCCCCUCUAAACGCCUCCUUCCCUCUCUUUCUUCCAAACCCAUCCCCAAAAACCGUUCUUUCUGGCUCAGGACUAAUGGGUUUUCUUCUCUUACUUCUCCCAGUGUUUCUUCUCCCUCUCCAGGUGCAUUAAAUUGUACUUACUGGAAGGCUUACCAGAAUUCCUUUUUGUUUAUUUCUAAGCUUAUUCUCAAGACUUGGAAGACCAGCCCUCGGAUACGUCUAGCUUACAGAUUCUGAAGCAUAAACUAAAGCAGCUUGGCAUCGAUAUUACUGAGUGUGUUACUGGGCGUGAAAACCACUUAAUGUGUCCCUCGGCCGUUGCAGAUCGCAAGCCAUAGAUUGAAAAUCUUGGUCGAGUUAAUAAAGUUAAGGUCAGAAGGCAAAUCACAGUGGAGAGUUUGCAAUUAGAACCACUUUGUAAUCAGAUCACUUCUAAUUUCGCAGAGCGAAUGAUAUCUGCAGAAACGCUAAAGAGAAAUGCUAUAAUGCAUAAAAAGAGCCGUGAUAAGAUUGUUAUUGCAUUCACUUAUUGGCGUAAAGGAGAACUUGUAAGUUGCAAGUAUCGUGAUGCUAAUAAGCGGUUUUGGCAGGUUUUUGUGAAAUGUUUUUCCCUGUUUAUAUUGUUUAUAUAGUAUGUUCACUUGGAAUUUAAAUUCAUUAUCCCAUAGACAGCCAUAAUGAACAUUGUCGAAACCCGUUUUUUUCAAAAAAAAGGGGUUUCGACAGCUUGGCGACUCCAUUGGGGACUCCGAGAGAGUCAAGCCGUAAAUUGAUUAAUUUAUGUCUUUUCGUUUAAAAUUAAAAAUUUGAUUUAAAAUACGAUUCUUUAAUUGCAUUUUAUCUGUUAUCUUCGUGAUCUUGGUCAUGAUACUUGCUUUGUUGGUUCGAGUCUUUAAAUAUUUUUCCAUAUUGCAUUACAUAAUCGCUCGGUCCUACUCUUUAAGUGGAAGUGAGAAACUAGUCCUUCUUAAGGUUUUCACCUCCGUAUAGGAUAAUAGAUCGCUUCCGGGAUAUAUUUAUACUUAUGUCUUCGUGAGAUUUUUAUCUCCGUAUAGUGAUAAGGACAUGUAUUCCCUUAAACCGAACUCGAUCCAUAUGAGCCUAUAAUGGGUAAGGAUCGAGAAAUCUACUAGUUUAAGUAUUCUGUCUUUUGAACCAAAUAGGUGUUCUGCUUGUUAUUUCUUACUUACUUUAAUUUUAUAUGAAUUGUACUGACAUGUGUUGUUUUGCUUAUGAUUGCAUAACAUUUCAUUAUAAGAAAAGAUGUCGAUUUAAGUUCGAUUACUAAAUAAAGAGCUUGUUAUCUCCCAGAGCUCGGGAGAGAAGCGUUAGUAUCGCGUACAAUAACAAUCAUGAAAAAUGUGUGCACCUAUUUUAUAACUCUAAAAUCUAGAGUUAUUUCUAGCACUUUUUAACAUAUAAAUUAUGUAAAUUCUGGGUUGUUGAUAACACUUUUUUUGGUAGUUUUUAUCUGUUAUAUAAAUUUAAUAUUGUAAAAAUGUGUUAUUUUAAUUAAUUUUAUGCUAAAUACGUUGAGGGAAUAAAUGGACUCAUUGGGAAAAGACAGCAGGAAGUCGAGUGCUGGGUUGAUAUGUUUAUAUCUCUGGAAGCCCCAAAAAUGUUUAUUGGGCUUUGGAAUCCAUUUGGGCUCAACUCUAAAGGAAAAAUAACACCUUGGACAGCCCACUAAGGAGAUGGAGGCACAAACCAUCCACAAGGUGGCCCAAGCCGUCCAUCCAAAGGUAAAAUAGUUCGCAAGACCCUUUCUUCAGUGACGACAACUACCAGUGGAGGGGGACGGCAUCUUCCUCCUCCAAAAAAAAACAAAUUCAUCCACUCUUCUUCCACUACUCAAGGGUCGGCCACACAAGUGAGAUUUUCAAGGGAUUCCCAUGAUAUUAUUAGUAUGGGAUGUUGGGGCUACUCCACUAUAAAUAGGACAUCCAUCCCUCAUUCAUCCCAUAUCUGGAUUUUCUUCCCACUUCUUGAGCACUACACUUGAGAGAAGAAACAUAAGUUUUAGAGAAGCAAAGCAGGAAGGUUUUGAGAGUUGUCAGAAUCCGAAUUGAGAGAAUAUUUUUGCAACGAAGCAAAGGAGGAGCAACACUAAUCAAAGAAGUAGACAAUAUAGGCUUCUAAUUUGUUUCUUCUAUUCUUUUACUUUUGUUCAAGUAUUGCAAUUUAUUCUUUUGCUUUCAAUUCAAUGUUUAUGGCUUAAUUUUGUUGAAGUUAGGUUAAUUGUAUUAAUGUUGUUCUGGGCAUUAUUUUGUUUACCAAUUCAAAUAAAAUCAUGCUCAUAUUUGCUCCUGCAUAA